RNAcentral lists this ribosomal RNA (431 nucleotides) under uncultured bacterium. Its description in RNAcentral is "bacterial SSU rRNA". It matches the Rfam family "Bacterial small subunit ribosomal RNA", at positions 76 to 505 of the family's 1533-position model. The record is from RNAcentral.
GUCUUCGGAUGCUGACGAGUGGCGAACGGGUGAGUAAUACAUCGGAACGUGCCCGAGAGUGGGGGAUAACGAAGCGAAAGCUUUGCUAAUACCGCAUACGAUCUCAGGAUGAAAGCAGGGGACCGCAAGGCCUUGCGCUCACGGAGCGGCCGAUGGCAGAUUAGGUAGUUGGUGGGAUAAAAGCUUACCAAGCCGACGAUCUGUAGCUGGUCUGAGAGGACGACCAGCCACACUGGGACUGAGACACGGCCCAGACUCCUACGGGAGGCAGCAGUGGGGAAUUUUGGACAAUGGGCGCAAGCCUGAUCCAGCCAUGCCGCGUGCAGGAUGAAGGCCUUCGGGUUGUAAACUGCUUUUGUACGGAACGAAAAGACUCUGGUUAAUACCUGGGGUCCAUGACGGUACCGUAAGAAAAGCACCGGCAAUACGUC